Non-coding RNA from Odocoileus virginianus texanus, 2716 nucleotides. The record is from RefSeq and is a predicted model, not a curated record. Lineage: Eukaryota; Metazoa; Chordata; Mammalia; Artiodactyla; Cervidae.
GCCUGCCGGGUCAGCGCUACUCGCUCCUCGGAGUUUUGAGUCGCUCCGCGCAGUUGUUUCUCAGGAAUGAGGAACCACUUCAUGGAGAGAUGGAGGUGAAGAGGGCCUUAAAGGGACGAAUCCAGUCCCUUCGGAUAACGAUAUAGAAGACCAGGGAAAGAAAAAACUGGCCCAGGGUCACAGGAUAGUGACACCCUUGACCCAAGCACUUUCCACCAAAACAGUUGGGAAAACACAAGAACAUUCCCUUUCUUCCAACAGUGGAAAAGAUACUGCUAAGAGGGCUGCUGACUUGUGAAGGAUUUUGAAGAGGGAAGGAGUGAAGAGGAAGGGAAUGUCACAGAUAUGCGCGCGCGCGCGCACGCACACACACACACACACACACACACACACACCUGCACUCACAAUCUUACACAGAAACCCAUGUUCUCCGUGGUCCCAGUUCCAGCCUGCAGCGCUCUCCGGAGGGGGCUGCCCUGGGGUUCUGGUUGCAGCCCUCCUGCCUGGCUGUCUCAUUUCUCCUCUCCCUCCCAAAGCCCAACUGCUGUUAUUUUGUGCCCGGCCAAGGAGGAGGGAACUGCAGUGACAGCAGGAGUGAGAGGCAGGACAGAGUCGUGGGGCAUGGAGACGGAUGGAGAGAGACGCCAAGACCAGGUGACCAGGAGUCCCAGAGAGAGCGCUGAGAAGCAGGUUGAGGGGUGGUGAGAGCCUGGGGGAGAGGCAGGAAGAACCAAGGAGAAGAAAGAGAAGGUUUGUGGGUCACAGAGCCACUCAGCCAUGCUGGGAACAAAGCGACCCUGGCCGCCAGGUCCCUCCUUCAGCCUGGGGUUGCCUUUGGCCCUCACACUUCUGGCCCUGAGGGCCGGGUGGGCCCAGGAGGGGACAGAGCCAGUCCUCCUGGAAGGCGAGUGCCUGGUGGUCUGUGAGCCCAGCAGAGCUGCUGCAGGAGGGCCAGGGGGAGCAGCCCUGGGAGAGGCGCCCCCUGGAAGAGUGGCAUUUGCUGCAGUCCGCAGCCACCACCACGAGCCCGCAGGGGAGAUCAGCAAUGGCACCAGCGGAGCCAUCUACUUCGACCAGGUCCUGGUGAACGAGGGAGGUGGCUUUGACCGCACCUCUGGCUCCUUCGUGGCACCUGUGCGGGGUGUCUACAGCUUCCGAUUCCAUGUGGUGAAGGUGUACAACCGCCAAACUGUCCAGGUGAGCCUGAUGCUGAACACAUGGCCUGUCGUCUCGGCCUUUGCCAACGAUCCAGAUGUGACCCGGGAGGCGGCCACCAGCUCUGUGCUGCUGCCCCUGGACCCUGGAGACCGGACUUCCUGUUACCUUGGGUUCCAUGGUGCAUCUUUUCAACCACUCUCCUGCCAGUAUUAUAAACUUUGUCUCACCUCUCUGUCCCAUUGGCCCAGCAUGGAUGACCCUAUCGUUAAAGUAAUUAAAGAAUGAUGGUCGGUGAGAUGCUAUAGGAUCGCUAAAGAGAGAAGAUGCUGUUACAGCUAGGUUCAGGGAUUACAGGAUACAAGAAGGUAUGUCGUAGAGACAAUAAAUGUAAAAUUGUAUGUUAGAGUCAAAUAAAAAAGGAUUUGGUAGUGCUUGAGUUAAAUAGGAAAUACCAAUGUGAAGUUGUGGUUUUCCAAAAGAAAUUACUUUUUCAAACUUUAUCACUAAAGUAGCGUGAAACAUCAGGGGAAAAUCUGAUGUGCAUUCUUAGCACCUGGAUCUUUGCCUCAAAUAUUAUUCACCUUUAAAGGGAUUCAGGCUCCCUCAGAGAAUAGUUCCAUGCCAUGAAUAACUCUAGGCCUUGAACCUAUUGGUGAAGACGAAAAGCAAAGAUUUUUUUUUUUAAUGUAUAGAGUAGAUCUAUGAAGGCAAAGGAGCCAAUUUUAAUAGGCUUCCACAAAUUGACCUUUGUGGAAUUUGUGACAAUUUGAUAAUCAAAAGGAAAAUAAUAUAGUUAAUUGGAACAAGGUGAAUUUUUAAAAUCCACAACUCUGUUGUGAUUUUCAAAAAGAAAAAAGCAACUAUACAAGGUGCAAAAAAUGUAGUUAAUAUACUGAGUGAAGAAGUAUGACCAUAAUAGGAUAUUUUUAGUUAAUUUUGAUAAGUAGAAGAGUAUAAAUAUAGCAGAUAUUAUAUUUACUCAUAAGGCACAUUUAUUUUUCUUAUCUGCAUAAGUAGGGAUGGGUGGAUCAAGAGAGCUCUGAGUAAUUCCAGAAAAAAUUGGAACUGCACCAAAAAUGAAAGAGAUUGAUUGGCACCAUCUGGUCAUAUAUUACAACUAGGAAGGAAGAAAUUCCAGCAGUGUGUUACAUGAUGGUGAAUUAGUCAAACAUCCAAAAGAUAACUGCUCACUGCUCAAACAUGAUCCUUCAUUUCUUAGGAAAGAAAGCCUCUAUACUACCCUACUAAUUAUAAUCAGAUUACAGUAACAAUAAAGCCCAAAAUAAUACUGGCUUAAACAAAAUGUUAGAUUAUUUCUGUCUCACAUAGGAGAAUCUGCAAAUAAAGAGUCCCGGAGUGGAUGGCAGUUUUAUGAUCAUCACAGCCCAAUUUCCUUUCUUGCUGUUCCACCUUUAGCAUAUCACCUUCUGACCCAAGAUGGCUCUUUGAUCUCCAGUCAUUACAUCAGCCUUACAGUCCCCAGGAAGGAGGAAGGAAGGACACACCCAUUUCCUUUAAAAGAAGCUUUCUGAGAGUUGUGUCCGACUCUUUGUGACCC